AGAGUUUGAUCCUGGCUCAGGAUGAAUACUGGCGGCGUGUCUAAGGCAUGCAAGUCGAAUGCUAGCUUGCUAGCAUGGCAAACGGGAGAGUAACACAUUGGUAAUUUACCCUAGGGACGAGAAUAACCUUGCGAAAGCGAGAGUAAUACUCGAUAAUAGUGGGGGGACAUAUGUCAUUCCUACUUAAAGUUCCGGCGCCCUGGGAGAAGCCUAUGGCUUAUCAGCUUGUUGGUGGGGUAAUGGCCUACCAAGGCAACGACGAGUAGCGGGUGUGAGAGCACGGCCCGUCUCACUGGGACUGAGAUACUGCCCAGACUCCUACGGGAGGCUGCAGUCGAGAAUAUUCCUCAAUGGCCGAAAGGCUGAAGGAGCGACGCCGCGUGCAUGAAGAAGCUCUUCGGAGUGUAAAGUGCUUUUAUUAGGGACGAAUUUCGACGGUACCUAAUGAAUAAGGGGCUGCUAACCUCGUGCCAGCAGCAGCGGUAAUACGAGGGCCCCAAGCAUUAUCCGGAUUUAUUGGGCGUAAAGGGUCCGUAGGCGGUUUAAUACAUCUUUCGUUAAAUCUUUUGGCUCAACCGAAAGUUCGCGAGAGAUAUGGCUAAACUAGAGGCCGGGAGAGGUAAGCGGAAUUGUUGGUGUAGGGGUUAAAUCCUUUAAUAUCAACAAGAACACCAAAUGCGAAGGCAGCUUACUGGAACGGUUCUGACGCUGAGGGACGAAAGCGUGGGGAGCGAAUAGGAUUAGAUACCCUAGUAGUCCACGCCGUAAACGAUGGAUGCUAAGUAUUGGGAGUUUCGACCCUCUCAGUGCUGUUAUUUCAAGUUAACACGUUAAGCAUCCCGCCUGGGGAGUACGAGCGCAAGCUUAAAACUCAAAGGAAUAGACGGGGAUCCGCACAAGUGGUGGAGCAUGUGGUUUAAUUCGAUAAUAAGCGAGAACCUCACCAAGGUUUGACAUAUAGCUGCAAGUCCUAGAAAUAGGAUCGCCUUCGAGGGUGCUAUACAGAUGCUGCAUGGUUGUCGUCAGCUCGUGUCGUGAGAUGUACCGUUAAGUCGGAAAACGAGCGCAACCCCUAUUCUAUGUUUUACAUGUCAUAGAAAACUGCCUGCUUUAAGUGGGAGGAAGGUGGGGAUGACGUCAAAUCAGCAUGGUUCUUACACCUUGGGCUACACACGUGCUACAAUGGGGAGAACAAAGGGACGCUAAGCCGUAAGGUGGAGCAAAUCCCAUAAAUCUCCUCUCAGUUCGGAUUGAGGUCUGCAAUUCGACCUCAUGAAGCUGGAAUCACUAGUAAUCGUGAAUCAGCCACGUCACGGUGAAUACGUUCUCGGAUCUUGUACUCACCGCCCGUCACACCAAGGGAGUCGGCAAUGCCCGAAGGCUCAUGUAUAUGGGACGAAGGUAAGGCUGGUAACAAGGGUGAAGUCGUAACAAGGCA
RNAcentral lists this ribosomal RNA (1438 nucleotides) under metagenome. RNAcentral describes it as "bacterial SSU rRNA". It matches the Rfam family "Bacterial small subunit ribosomal RNA". The record is from RNAcentral.